Triticum dicoccoides is the source of this 2552-nucleotide long non-coding RNA. RefSeq lists it as uncharacterized. NCBI's taxonomy places the organism in Eukaryota, Viridiplantae, Streptophyta, Magnoliopsida, Poales, Poaceae. The transcript is spliced from 3 exons. The record is from RefSeq and is a predicted model, not a curated record.
CACGGCGGCUGCACUGCGUGCGGCCAGAGAGAGAGCCGGGAGGAAUAAGCGAAGGAAGAGGUGGCGGGAUCCUGCGGGGCUGGAUUGGAGCCCCGGUGGUGCUACUGCUGCCGUUGGACGCCGGCCGAAGGGACAAGUCCCUAGGUAAGGAAACAACAUGUGUUGCAUCGGCACAUUUGAUGCAGAGUAGCUACUGUAAGUUCCUCUCCCUUCUCUAAUAAGCAUUGCGACCUCUCCCUUCUCUAAUUGGUAUUGAGAUUCAAUUGCUAUUCGAUGGAGAGCAGCCACAAAAAGUUCCUCAAUUGAUGCACAGCGGCCACCGAAAACAGAUCUCGCUUUCAAUCUCUAAUUGAUUCUCAGCUACAGAGUGGCAUGUAUCUAUAGACUUGCUAAUGUGAUGGCUAAUGCAUGUGUAUUAAUUCAUGAAUUAGCAAAAUAUUUCCCGUGAGAUGUGCUAAUAUACAAAUUUGAUGUUCACAGUGCCCUCCACUUUUUUUUUGUUAUGCCUAUAAGAGAUGACUUUUUUUCAAUUUUUAAAUAGAAAAGCACAGUAUGGUUGCUCUUAUAUACAGCUUAUAAAAAGGAAUUGCAAAAUAAGAAGAGUGAUCUGUUCUACUCAAAACAAAAUUGCUGAAAUUCACAUGCAUGGUGGCGCCAUACAGCGAGCGCAUGGUGGCAGAGUUCACAAGCUAGAUCUUUGACUGGCGUUAUGGCUUGUCCUGAUGCAGAGAAGGACGGGGUUCAAGUUGUUGGGCCGGUGGCAGGGGCAGCAUGAUGUUUUCGUCAGGUAACAACCUAGGCAUCGACUCAAGAUUUAACUGAACCAAUUCCUUUAAUUCAGGCUCCAAAUCGUUGUUAUUUGAUUCACCAAUUGGUUGCUGGCAACAACUAAUUGGACAUAUAAUUGUUGAUUUCUGUACAAACAAUAUCUUCAGUUGUUUUCAGAUCUUCAAUAAGGAUCAUCAAGCCUCUGUUUUUUAUAUGAAGAAUAGAUAUUGUAAUUGUGCCUCCAUUACGUCUAAAAGUCAGGUAUCGGAAAACUGUCAUUGGCAUAUCUCUGUCAUGAUGGAAGAUUGGUUAGACAGAAAAAGGACCUCUGGUUAUGUAUGACAUGAUGCGAGGCACAUAUCUCUGAAUGAAGCGCAACAAGAAUUGACAUCCUCUAAUGCUAACUGUUGACCAUUCUUCUCUGAAGUAUCAGGUCAGUAUCCCAUGUGCCCCCUAUUCAUCUGUCAUCGCUGCAUAAAAAUUUAAUGCAGUUUUUAAGCCUAUGUUUAAGGAUAGCUAAAUCUCUAUGGACCAACCAUAUUAUCUUUUUGAGAUAAUAAAUCAACCUUCAUCAUGUACUUAUGUUGUAACUUCUCCCAUCUUUUGUGCUAUUAUCUAAAAGAGGUGUGGAUUGGAAUCAGUUUUUUUUGCUGCACCCCCAUUCCGACGAGGUCACGCACACAUACCACCGGGAAUCCCACGGACCCUAUGUUCGAGCGCGAGCGACGGCAAUAGCAUCUGCAAGUACUUGACCAACACGCUACCCGGGUGUGGUAUCCACUAUUGAGGCCAAGCAACCUAGCUCGGUCAUCCUUAAGUGUGCUUGUGUCCACCACCUGAUGAAGAACGGGAGAAGAUUGCUGACUUUGUGCCUAAUGAUGGUUGCCUGAACUUCGUAGAGCAAAUUGACGAGGUGUUGAUUGCUGAAUUUGGUCUUAAGAGGCACGUCGUGGGAGAUAUCCCUUGUGGCAGGUUCAAAGUUGUGAUGGUAUCUGGUGUCUCCCAGCGAGAUUUGUUCCUUCUCUUAACAGUUACUAUUAAGAACAAAUUUAUGUUUCCAGCAAAAAAGUUGGCCGGCCCCAGCAAAAAAAAAGAACAGUUCCAGCAAAAAAAGAUCGUCGCCGUGGUCACAGGUGUCAACAAGCAGUCUUCGGAAUCAUCAAUAAGCCAACAGCGAGAAAUAAGUUUAAGAAUUGAGUUCCUUUAACAGGGAAAUAAGGAAGGGAAGAAACAAAUAGGGAACAAUCAGAUGAAGCAUCAAGGAAAAUGGAUUGAACAAUCAGAUGAAGCAUCCAGCUCGAGGAGAAGCAUGGUCUGCAAGGAGACCAAUCAUCUUGAGGUGGUUCUUUCAGCUACUGCAUGUUCCAUUACGGAGAAGGGUACUUAGUCGAUCUUAGGAGCCAGACUCUGCUCUCCUUGCAGGGAGAAUUUCAACAAAUGGUACUAUUACUCUCCCAACAAUUCUUUUAUCACUACAAAAUGUGUAGGAACCUUAUUUUUCCCUGAGAUACUGUAAUUGAGGAACCGAGAGCCGCGACGGAACAUUGUAUUUUGCACUACAUCCUGUAUUUGCUUUGUGGGAAGCUGGCUUGAGGACAAAUAUGUCAGCUCCAUUUUCGCUGUGAGUGAUUCUUCAUAUGACGGUAGUGUUGCUUGUGUUCAUAAUCAGUCUCUAUGUAAUGUUUCGGCAGAGAGAGUUGUAACGCCUCGGUCUUCUUGCCGAGUUGCAGAAUGCUGUUGUUCACUCUGCAAUAGGAUGGAUGAACAUGGUUUUCUUUAUUUUA